This is a long non-coding RNA of Populus trichocarpa (black cottonwood), 1060 nucleotides long. RefSeq lists it as uncharacterized. Lineage: Eukaryota; Viridiplantae; Streptophyta; Magnoliopsida; Malpighiales; Salicaceae. The record is from RefSeq and is a predicted model, not a curated record. The transcript has 3 exons.
UGUCAACUAUCUCGAAUACUAGUGUGCUCCUUUAUGUCCAAAAUAACCAUGAUUUUAUCAUUUUCUAGUAUUUUGGUUUACCAAAAACACAAGCCUUGGUGGCUGUAAGAGGAGAUUGGGGAUUGUUUGUGGUGCUGGUUUGAUGCUUCCAGUUGAUCCAUGGGCACCCAACAUUGAUUCACAGAGCCUUGCCUCACAGCUUUUUGCUUUCUCUUUAUUUCCUUACAUUGGUAUCUUGUACUUCAUUACCAAAUCCAAGUCUGCUCCUAAGCUCACUCUCUUUGGUUUCUACUUCUUGCUUGCAUUUGUUGGGGCUACAACUUUUGUAAGCUAUAUGUCUUUCUUCGUAAUUGUACCUUGGUGGCUUCACUUCUGUUGAGCAGUCCCGGCUAGAAUUUAUGGUAACUUCUCCCAUUAAAUAGGAUUUUACUUGAACAUUCAUCAGCUUUAUUCUUCAUGCCUAUGUCUUAACUUUCUAUUGGGACUUGAUGGUUGCAUGGUUGAGGCAGCGAAGGUGCGUUAUGGUACUUCCUUACCUAAUGUGGAUGGAUUGGUUGCACGGUGGGGCUGAGGCACUUCUCACUCUAACCAACUUAUUCAUUGUCUUGGGGCUAAGACAAGCUCUUAGGAAUGCAAGUGGUUCCAGAAAAAGAUCAUCAGAUCCUGUUUCAGCAAUCGAAGAGGAGAAGAAGUCUUCCAUCUAGAGAAUACUCUAUACUUUCUGCAGUCCAUGUCACUUCUGCUCCGCCAAGUGCACCUAUGCAUCAAGCCUUCAAUUCCAACUGAAUGCUCGAGAUAUUCAAAACGCUUAUAAGGAACACAAAUUUCCAACUUAGCAUUUAGUAAAUCGUAUAUAUUUCUAAGGGUACAAUCUUGAUAUGUGGUUAUUGUCUUUAGAAACUUCAUCAGUAUGUGUGAUAUCCUAAGAAUGACAGAAUGUCUUUGCCAGCUAUCAUGUAAAAGAUCAUGUUCAACAAGAGUGAUGAAUCCAUUGUACUGUACUGUCUCUCCAUGAUAUUUAAAUUUAUUCUCAUUUUACGAGAAUUCUAAAGUUUUUACC